UACGUAGGGGCCUAGCGUUGUCCGGAUUUAUUGGGCGUAAAGAGCUCGUAGGCGGUUCGGUAAGUCAGGUGUGAAAUCUCCACGCUCAACGUGGAGGCGCCACCUGAAACUGACCGUGACUCGAGUCCGGUAGGGGAGUGUGGAAUUCCCGGUGUAGCGGUGAAAUGCGCAGAUAUCGGGAGGAACACCGAUGGCGAAGGCAAUCCCCUGGACCUGUACUGACGCUCAUGCACGAAAGCGUGGGGAGCAAACAGG
Molecule: ribosomal RNA, 255 nt
Filed under: uncultured bacterium
Lineage: Bacteria
Description: partial 16S ribosomal RNA
Rfam family: Bacterial small subunit ribosomal RNA
Source: RNAcentral